RNAcentral lists this ribosomal RNA (521 nucleotides) under uncultured Ascomycota. RNAcentral describes it as "LSU rRNA". The stretch from base 244 to 521 matches the Rfam family "Eukaryotic large subunit ribosomal RNA", at positions 955 to 1235 of the family's 3401-position model. Lineage: Eukaryota; Fungi; Ascomycota. The record is from RNAcentral.
CGCCCCGGUGGCCCGACUCGGGGUAUGGUAACAGCACAGAGCAUGAGCCGAGAGGCGAAAUGGAUAAUCCGCAGCCAAGUCCUAAGGCAUUUGAAGCUAUGGACACAGUUCACAGACUAAAUGGCGGCGGGCCCAUAGGGCUCAAGUUAUAGUCGAUCCGCCCCGAGAGGGGCCGAGGGGAUGAAGCCAUGCCCGAAUCCCCACGGAGGCCGUUCAGGCCUCGGGCGAAAUGCUAGUAGCUGGUUCCUGCCGAAGUUUCCCUCAGGAUAGCAGAAGCUUGUACAGUUUUAUGAGGUAAAGCGAAUGAUUAGAGGCCUUGGGGUCGAAAUGACCUUAACCUAUUCUCAAACUUUAAAUAUGUAAGAAGUCCUUGUCACUUAGUUGGACCUGGACACUCGAAUGAGAGCUUCUAGUGGGCCAUUUUUGGUAAGCAGAACUGGCGAUGCGGGAUGAACCGAACGUGGGGUUAAGGUGCCGGAAUGCACGCUCAUCAGACACCAUAAAAGGUGUUGGUUCAUCUA